This 345-nucleotide ribosomal RNA is filed under the name uncultured bacterium. RNAcentral describes it as "bacterial SSU rRNA". It matches the Rfam family "Bacterial small subunit ribosomal RNA", at positions 32 to 361 of the family's 1533-position model. The record is from RNAcentral.
AAUCAACGCUGGCGGCGUGCCUCAGACAUGCAAGUCGAACGUGAAAGUUUCCUUCGGGAGCGAGUAGAGUGGCGCACGGGUGAGUAACACGUAGGUGAUUUACCUUUGGGUGGAGAAUAACAGUCGGAAACGAUUGCUAAUACUGCAUAAUGCAGCGGCUCGACAUCGAGACAGUCGUUAAAGUAGGGUUGAAAGACCUUAUGCCUAAAGAAAGCCUGCGGCAGAUUAGCUAGAUGGUAAGGUAAUGGCUUACCAUGGCGACGAUCUGUAGCCGGCCUGAGAGGGCGGUCGGCCACACUGACACUGAAUAACGGUCAGACUCCUACGGGAGGCAGCAGUCGGGAA